UUACUUACCUGGCAGGGGAGGUACCACGAUCAGGAAGGCGGUUCUCCCAGGAUAAGGCUCUCCCUUUGCACUCUGGGUGUGCUGCCUCCUGUGACUUCCCCGAAUAUGGGAAACUCAGCUGCAUAAUUUGUGGUAGUGGGGACUGCAUUCAUGCUCUCUUCU
Molecule: small nuclear RNA, 162 nt
Organism: Artibeus jamaicensis (Jamaican fruit-eating bat)
Lineage: Eukaryota; Metazoa; Chordata; Mammalia; Chiroptera; Phyllostomidae
Product: U1 spliceosomal RNA
Exons: 1
Source: RefSeq, a predicted model, not a curated record